Rosa chinensis is the source of this 1029-nucleotide long non-coding RNA. RefSeq lists it as uncharacterized. Lineage: Eukaryota; Viridiplantae; Streptophyta; Magnoliopsida; Rosales; Rosaceae. The record is from RefSeq and is a predicted model, not a curated record. The transcript has 3 exons.
CCUUUCAUCACGAUUUCGGGUUGGAAGUCGAAGGCUAAAUCAAGGCUGCUUGGAAAUUUGAUUCAGAUGAUGGCUAUAGUUCAAACAAGCAAUUUAAUUGCAGUGUUCCUGUAGUCUGGUUUUGCUCUGACAUUUUGCCCAUGGCUCGCUGUUCUGCAUAAGUGCAUAGUAAUAUCAUAGGCAUGAUUGGAUGGUAAUUGGAUCUGGAUGUACAUGUAUUGAAGCAAAUCGAGAACUUGCAUGGUCUAGAGGAUUUAUAAUGAUUUGGGCCAUGAUGCUUUGAGUUCCACGGCCAUAUCAAAUGUUUGUAGGGGACAUGUAUUGUAUGCAGAUACAUUCUAUGCAGUUGAGAUUCUUUUUUUGGUUGUAAUUUGGUUUACAACAUUCUGAAUGUUGAGCAUACUCUAAGGUUAUGUUUUCUUGUUAAUGCAGAAACAAUAUGAAGACAUUCCAGUUUUGGGGCAGAGGCCAACAGAUGAAUGAACUAUGGACUCUUAUAACCAUCAUGUAGUUUUUGUAUGGAAGGAAAGUUGAAGUAUGCAAUUAUGCAUUAGUUGCUAGUGGGAAGGAUUUGGAAGAAACAGGGAGUGAGGAUGAUGGGCUUUUGGAUCUCAGUGAAGAUGAUUUUUUUUUCUAAGUGGAAGCUCUAGUGAUGAAGCAAAUGCAGAUGAUGAAUGGACAGAUAAGAGUACAAGGGAACAGGCUUCCAGUACUUCUGAGAAAGCAGCAUCUGGCAUGUCCAGUGAUGAGAGAAAUCAGAGACAGAUUUCAGCUAGAGCUUUGAUGCCUGCCCCUCGGCAUCAAGUAAUUCUCACUCAAGUUCAGUACCUUCUCAAUCAAGAUUCAGUCCUUCAUCAAGCAAAAGUUCACCAAAACAUGCUGAAAUGUCUACAUCCAGCAAUACAUCAAGUAGCAGAAGUGAAAUGAAGCUAGAUGAUACUGAUUUCGCCAAUUUUGAGCUUUGUUUCCAAAGUGGGAAACCAAUGUUGCUGGACUUUUGAUGAUCUUUUAUUUUAUAGUUUUUAGUUU